CUUGGUGCAUUUCAUAAUCCUGGGCGGGGUUCUGGUUUUUUUCAACGGGUUCUCCUUGCAAAGCUAUCAGACCUGUCGUCAGCUCAUGGAAAUGCUGCUAAGUACCAACAUAAAGCAGGCAUUGGAAGAUGCAUUCUCUGGAAAGGGUGGAUUUGAAGGACCUAAGCUCUCAUGUGACUCGACAUCAGUAGAACACAGGAGGAGAUGCUGCAGCCGAGCGUGGCUAACUCACCAGCGUUUGGGCUACUGCCGGGCUGAGCACCCUGGCUGGGCUUGCUCCAACAUCUCCCUGCCCCGAGGUUCUGAGAGGACACGGCCGAAUCAGCUGAGCCAGACUGGCCAAAGGGAUAUUCCAUGUCAUACGACAUCAGCUCAAGCAUAAGAAUGAAGUGAAAGAAGGAAGAUGGUGUCUGUUCUCUGCAAGCAACCACUAAGCAGAGAGAGCCCUGCUUCCCAAGGCUGCAUAUAGUCUGCUGAUGGGCAGCAGAGAUCGGCAUCUCUCGCCCUGCUUCUGCUUCCGCGCGCCCUAUUGCUUUGCUUCUUGUCACUAUUAAAUUGUCUCUAUCUUG
This is a long non-coding RNA of Pogoniulus pusillus (Red-fronted tinkerbird), 569 nucleotides long. RefSeq lists it as uncharacterized. The transcript is spliced from 2 exons. Lineage: Eukaryota; Metazoa; Chordata; Aves; Piciformes; Lybiidae. The record is from RefSeq and is a predicted model, not a curated record.